AGCAAUGUGGGUCAAUGGAAAGACCAUUGAAUUUGGAGUCGAAGGACUUAGUUUUGAAUCUUGACACUGCUA
RNAcentral lists this transfer RNA (72 nucleotides) under Monodelphis domestica (gray short-tailed opossum). It matches the Rfam family "tRNA". Rfam says of the family: Transfer RNA (tRNA) molecules are approximately 80 nucleotides in length. Their secondary structure includes four short double-helical elements and three loops (D, anti-codon, and T loops). The record is from Rfam by way of RNAcentral. Lineage: Eukaryota; Metazoa; Chordata; Mammalia; Didelphimorphia; Didelphidae.